This 103-nucleotide microRNA precursor is filed under the name Marmota monax (woodchuck). Lineage: Eukaryota; Metazoa; Chordata; Mammalia; Rodentia; Sciuridae. The record is from RNAcentral.
AGUGGGAUAGCUGGGUCAAAUGGUGGUUCCGUUCCCAGUUUUCCAAGGAAUCUGCAUAAUGUUUUUUAGACUGGUUGCUCCAAUUUGCAGUCCCACCAGCAAU